Molecule: non-coding RNA, 45 nt
Filed under: Schistosoma haematobium
Lineage: Eukaryota; Metazoa; Platyhelminthes; Trematoda; Strigeidida; Schistosomatidae
Source: RNAcentral
AUCCAGCUGACGAGUCCUAAAUAGAACGAAGCGCGCUUCUUGAAU